RNAcentral lists this small RNA (679 nucleotides) under Pongo abelii (Sumatran orangutan). Its description in RNAcentral is "retained intron". Lineage: Eukaryota; Metazoa; Chordata; Mammalia; Primates; Hominidae. The record is from RNAcentral.
UACAUUUGCUUCUGACACAAUUGUGUUCACUAGCAACCUCAAACAGACACCAUGGUGCACCUGACUCCUGAGGAGAAGUCUGCUGUUACUGCCCUGUGGGGCAAGGUGAACGUGGAUGAAGUUGGUGGUGAGGCCCUGGGCAGGCUGCUGGUGGUCUACCCUUGGACCCAGAGGUUCUUUGAGUCCUUUGGGGAUCUGUCCACUCCUGAUGCUGUUAUGGGCAACCCUAAGGUGAAGGCUCAUGGCAAGAAAGUGCUCGGUGCCUUUAGUGAUGGCCUGGCUCACCUGGACAACCUCAAGGGCACCUUUGCCAAGCUGAGUGAGCUGCACUGUGACAAGCUGCACGUGGAUCCUGAGAACUUCAGGGUGAGUCUAUGGUACCAUUGAUGUUUUCUUUCCCCUUCUUUUCUAUAGUUAAGUUCAUGUCAUAGGAAGGGGAUAAGUAUCAGGGUACAGUUUAGAAUGGGAAACUGACGAAUGAUUGCAUCAGUGUGGAACUCUCAGGAUCAUUUUAGUUUCUUUUAUUUGCUGUUCAUAACAAUUGUUUUCUUUUGUUUAAUUCUUGCUUUCUUUUUUUUCUUCUCUGCAAUUUUUACUAUUAUCCUUAAUGCCUUAACGUUGUGUAUAACAAAAGGAAAUAUCUCUGAGAUACAUUAAGUAACUUAAAAAAAAAGUUUAC